AACGUUAAAGUCUGAAGAGCUGCCUCCUGCCUUCCCGCGGGAUUGGAGGCUUUCCUACCGGUCAGUGCUAGAUCUGCGGAAAUAGCACCAAGCUUAGGACAGCACUGUACAACCUUGGACUUCCUUCACAGGACUGGAGAAGAGGAGCUUUCCCCAAACUCCAUGGUGCCCAUCAUCCAAGGGUCUUUGGAUUUUCUUCCACUGAUAAGGGAAUGUAUUCAAGAGCAGAAAAAGAGAAUACAAAAGUUCAGCUCUGUCCUGAGAACUAAAUGGCACCUCCAAUGGAACAUUUCUCAUGUCUACAUCAAAAUCAUACCAAUGUCUUUGAAAGUCCGUGCUCUCCCAUCUCCUAAGAAGAAGAAUGAAGACUGCCUUCUUUUCCACAGCCAAACAUAUUCCCAGGCUUGUCAUUUGAAUGAUGGUUCUCAAGCUACUCCAGGAAAAUACUCCUCCUUCAUCCAGUUCCAAAGAGAUUGCCAGUUUCUUAACUGCUUCUCUGGGAUUCUAUUCCACCAGCUCCAGGGAAAAUUCUAAUCCCAUGCCCUGUCAAUCACUCUUAUGUCCUAAGUCUUAUUUCCUAUUGUAACAGUGUCUAUAUAUUUUGUGUGAU
Molecule: long non-coding RNA, 610 nt
Filed under: Monodelphis domestica (gray short-tailed opossum)
Lineage: Eukaryota; Metazoa; Chordata; Mammalia; Didelphimorphia; Didelphidae
Description: lncRNA (ENSMODG00000042169.1)
Source: RNAcentral